GAGUAACGCGUGGGUAACCUGCCUCAUACAGGGGGAUAACAGUUGGAAACGACUGCUAAUACCGCAUAAGCGCACGGUACCGCAUGGUACCGUGUGAAAAACUCUGGUGGUAUGAGAUGGACCCGCGUCUGAUUAGCUAGUUGGUGGGGUAACAGCCUACCAAGGCGACGAUCAGUAGCCGACCUGAGAGGGUGACCGGCCACAUUGGGACUGAGACACGGCCCAAACUCCUACGGGAGGCAGCAGUGGGGAAUAUUGCACAAUGGGGGAAACCCUGAUGCAGCGACGCCGCGUGAGCGAAGAAGUAUUUCGGUAUGUAAAGCUCUAUCAGCAGGGAAGAAAAAAAUGACGGUACCUGACUAAGAAGCACCGGCUAAAUACGUGCCAGCAGCCGCGGUAAUACGUAUGGUGCAAGCGUUAUCCGGAUUUACUGGGUGUAAAGGGAGCGCAGGCGGUGCGGCAAGUCUGAUGUGAAAGCCCGGGGCUCAACCCCGGUACUGCAUUGGAAACUGUCGUACUAGAGUGUCGGAGGGGUAAGUGGAAUUCCUAGUGUAGCGGUGAAAUGCGUAGAUAUUAGGAGGAACACCAGUGGCGAAGGCGGCUUACUGGACGAUAACUGACGCUGAGGCUCGAAAGCGUGGGGAGCAAACAGGAUUAGAUACCCUGGUAGUCCACGCUGUAAACGAUGAAUACUAGGUGUUGGAGAGCAUUGCUCUUCGGUGCCGCAG
This 728-nucleotide ribosomal RNA is filed under the name uncultured bacterium. RNAcentral's name for it is "bacterial SSU rRNA". It matches the Rfam family "Bacterial small subunit ribosomal RNA", at positions 108 to 851 of the family's 1533-position model. The record is from RNAcentral.